CAAAUUUUGAUAGAAAAUACUUUAAACUAUCUAGAUUAAGGUUAACAUUCUUAAUCUUGAAUUUAAAAGUUCUAUCUUCAAAUUUUAAAGAUUAUUCAAUUUUCACCGUCAAUUUUGACAUAAUUUAUUUACUAAAUAAACGAUGUCGAAAAAAACUAAAUUUUAUUCCUAAGAACUUCAUAUACCCUAGAUCAUAUUUAACGGUGUGGAUCGUUAAUUUGAACACCCUAAGAUCGAAAACAAGACUAUAGUACCGGAGCUCCGAUACUAUAGAUAGUAUAGGAGCCUAAUUUUUUAU
This 298-nucleotide long non-coding RNA is filed under the name Ananas comosus (pineapple). RNAcentral's name for it is "long non-coding RNA (ACOM_LNC026374)". Lineage: Eukaryota; Viridiplantae; Streptophyta; Magnoliopsida; Poales; Bromeliaceae. The record is from RNAcentral.